Molecule: long non-coding RNA, 551 nt
Filed under: Ananas comosus (pineapple)
Lineage: Eukaryota; Viridiplantae; Streptophyta; Magnoliopsida; Poales; Bromeliaceae
Description: long non-coding RNA (ACOM_LNC008166)
Source: RNAcentral
ACUAUCGAAAGCAUAAAGUAGUUGGUACUUUCGAUUUUUUAGCCUUUGAAUCCAAAAUUCUACAGUUGGAAUGAUAACGGUCUCCUUAGGGUUGAGUGGUCUCCCUAAGGUUGAGUGGUCCUCAUCGGUUAAUAAUAUUAAUCUAAUGAUUAAAAAUGAUCAAUAGGUUUGAUCUAAGGACUAAAAAAUUAGAAGUAUCAAUUACUUUAUGCUUCCGAUAGCAUAAUAGCUAUACUCUCUCUCUCUCUCUCUCUCUCUAUAUAUAUAUAUAGAAUUAUGCUACUAUACUAUCAAUAAUACCAAACCCUUGUAUACUAUUGAGUUUUCGACCGUUGGAUGAAAGAAUGUGCGGUUCGGAUGAUAGUGGUCCCCGGUUAAAUUGAUAGUGGUCUCCUAGGGUUGAGUCAGUGGUUGGUUUAAUAGUAUAAUCUAACGGGUGAAAAUAAUCAAAGAGUAGAUCUAACGGUAGAAAACUCAAUAGUACUAAGGGCUUGAUACUAUCGAUAGUAUAGUAGCCAGACUCUAUAUAUAUAUAUAUAUAUAUAUAUAUA